CGUACACUCCUACGGGAGGCAGCAGUGGGGAAUAUUGCACAAUGGGCGCAAGCCUGAUGCAGCCAUGCCGCGUGUAUGAAGAAGGCCUUCGGGUUGUAAAGUACUUUCAGCGGGGAGGAAGGCAAUACGGUUAAUAACCGUGUUGAUUGACGUUACCCGCAGAAGAAGCACCGGCUAACUCCGUGCCAGCAGCCGCGGUAAUACGGAGGGUGCAAGCGUUAAUCGGAAUUACUGGGCGUAAAGCGCACGCAGGCGGUCUGUCAAGUCGGAUGUGAAAUCCCCGGGCUCAACCUGGGAACUGCAUUCGAAACUGGCAGGCUUGAGUCUUGUAGAGGGGGGUAGAAUUCCAGGUGUAGCGGUGAAAUGCGUAGAGAUCUGGAGGAAUACCGGUGGCGAAGGCGGCCCCCUGGACAAAGACUGACGCUCAGGUGCGAAAGCGUGGGGAGCAAACAGGAUUAGAAACCCUUGUAGUCCCAUGAU
Molecule: ribosomal RNA, 480 nt
Filed under: uncultured organism
Description: partial 16S ribosomal RNA
Rfam family: Bacterial small subunit ribosomal RNA
Source: RNAcentral